CCUACGGGUGACAGCAGUGAGGAAUAUUGGUCAAUGGGCGCGAGCCUGAACCAGCCAAGUAGCGUGAAGGAUGACUGCCCUACGGGUUGUCAACUUCUUUUAUAAAGGAAUAAAGUGAGGCACGUGUGCCUUUUUGUAUGUACUUUAUGAAUAAGGAUCGGCUAACUCCGUGCCAGCAGCCGCGGUAAUACGGAGGAUCCGAGCGUUAUCCGGAUUUAUUGGGUUUAAAGGGAGCGUAGAUGGGUUGUUAAGUCAGUUGUGAAAGUUUGCGGCUCAACCGUAAAAUUGCAAUUGAUACUGGCAGUCUUGAGUACAGUUGAGGUAGGCGGAAUUCGUGGUGUAGCGGUGAAAUGCUUAGAUAUCACGAAGAACCCCGAUUGCGAAGGCAGCUUACCGGCGCCCAACUGACACUGAUGCACGAAAGCGUGGGUAUCGAACAGGAUUAGAUACCCUUGUAGUC
RNAcentral lists this ribosomal RNA (460 nucleotides) under uncultured bacterium. RNAcentral describes it as "partial 16S ribosomal RNA". It matches the Rfam family "Bacterial small subunit ribosomal RNA", at positions 338 to 795 of the family's 1533-position model. The record is from RNAcentral.